This 376-nucleotide ribosomal RNA is filed under the name uncultured organism. Its description in RNAcentral is "bacterial SSU rRNA". It matches the Rfam family "Bacterial small subunit ribosomal RNA", at positions 526 to 896 of the family's 1533-position model. The record is from RNAcentral.
CAGAGGAGCCAAGCGUCGUCCGGAUUGACUGGGCGUAAAGCGCACGCAGGCGGUCGGGCGCGUGGGGUGUGAAAUCUGGCCGCUUAACGGCCAGGCGCCAUCCCAUACGGCUCGACUGGAGGGCUGCAGAGGUCGAUGGAAUUGCCGGUGUAGUGGUGAAAUGCGUAGAGAUCGGCAGGAACACCCAGGGGGAAACCAGUCGACUGGGCAGCACCUGACGCUGAGGUGCGAGAGCGUGGGGAGCGAACCGGAUUAGAUACCCGGGUAGUCCACGCCGUAAACGAUGGCCACUCGGCCUUUGGCGGCGGAACACCGUCGCUGGGGGCCUUAGCUAACGCGGGAAGUGGCCCGCCUGGGAACUACGAGCGCAAGCUUA